RNAcentral lists this ribosomal RNA (473 nucleotides) under uncultured organism. RNAcentral describes it as "partial 16S ribosomal RNA". It matches the Rfam family "Bacterial small subunit ribosomal RNA", at positions 332 to 797 of the family's 1533-position model. The record is from RNAcentral.
UACACUCCUACGGGAGGCAGCAGUGGGGAAUUUUGGACAAUGGGCGAAAGCCUGAUCCAGCAAUGCCGCGUGAGUGAAGAAGGCCUUCGGGUUGUAAAGCUCUUUUGUCAGGGAAGAAACGGUGAAAGCUAAUAUCUUUUGCUAAUGACGGUACCUGAAGAAUAAGCACCGGCUAACUACGUGCCAGCAGCCGCGGUAAUACGUAGGGUGCAAGCGUUAAUCGGAAUUACUGGGCGUAAAGCGUGCGCAGGCGGUUUUGUAAGUCUGAUGUGAAAUCCCCGGGCUCAACCUGGGAAUUGCAUUGGAGACUGCAAGGCUAGAAUCUGGCAGAGGGGGGUAGAAUUCCACGUGUAGCAGUGAAAUGCGUAGAUAUGUGGAGGAACACCGAUGGCGAAGGCAGCCCCCUGGGUCAAGAUUGACGCUCAUGCACGAAAGCGUGGGGAGCAAACAGGAUUAGAUACCCUGGUAGUCCC